GUGAAACCGUUCGGGGGUAAACGGACAGAGCCCGUGAAUCUGGGUGGCGGAAUUCAGGAUGGCUGUGCGCGCUGUACGCGGCGUGUACGGUCGUUUGAUAUUUCCGUCGCCGUCGAACAGACGCAGACGUCGCGACCUGUUUGUCGUCGGUCCCUGUUUUUGGAAGGAGCGCCGCGGUCGAGUUCGUUGUGGACGCGUUUCCGCGCGUCACACGGCGAAGCCGCGUGUCUCUGGCCGAUCGACGGACAGUAUGUUGCAAACACGGUGUCCGUUGGCGUGUGUACUAGUAACACACGGUCAACGGUACCGGUCGGUGACGAAUUCUUCGGGCCUCUUUCCGACCCGUCUUGAAACACGGACCAAGGAGUCUAACGUGCGCGCGAGUCGCGGGGUUACAUGUAGCGAAACCCGUGUGCGUUUCGGCGCGCUAGAAGGCGUAAUGAAAGUGAAUGGGGGAAGAUGGCGUUCCGAGUACACGUUCCGCGGUCACAGGUAUCGCGGCCGGACGUCCGCAUUCCCGGGGCGUCUCAACGGCCCGUCGCAGACGCGGACGGUCGUCUCUCGGGGCGGCCGUCGGUCCGCGUCGAACCGAGGCGCACCUAGAGCGUGCACGUUGGUACCCGAAAGAUGGUGAACUAUGCCUGGCCAGGAUGAAGUCAGGGGAAACCCUGAUGGAGGUCCGCAGCGAUUCUGACGUGCAAAUCGAUCGUCUGAGC
RNAcentral lists this ribosomal RNA (716 nucleotides) under Diaspididae sp. UMEC D4274A. Its description in RNAcentral is "partial 28S ribosomal RNA". It matches the Rfam family "Eukaryotic large subunit ribosomal RNA", at positions 399 to 911 of the family's 3401-position model. Lineage: Eukaryota; Metazoa; Arthropoda; Insecta; Hemiptera; Diaspididae. The record is from RNAcentral.